This 2905-nucleotide ribosomal RNA is filed under the name Escherichia coli. RNAcentral's name for it is "23S ribosomal RNA". It matches the Rfam family "Bacterial large subunit ribosomal RNA". The record is from RNAcentral. RNAcentral also lists the same sequence under 1 other name. Lineage: Bacteria; Pseudomonadati; Pseudomonadota; Gammaproteobacteria; Enterobacterales; Enterobacteriaceae.
GGUUAAGCGACUAAGCGUACACGGUGGAUGCCCUGGCAGUCAGAGGCGAUGAAGGACGUGCUAAUCUGCGAUAAGCGUCGGUAAGGUGAUAUGAACCGUUAUAACCGGCGAUUUCCGAAUGGGGAAACCCAGUGUGUUUCGACACACUAUCAUUAACUGAAUCCAUAGGUUAAUGAGGCGAACCGGGGGAACUGAAACAUCUAAGUACCCCGAGGAAAAGAAAUCAACCGAGAUUCCCCCAGUAGCGGCGAGCGAACGGGGAGCAGCCCAGAGCCUGAAUCAGUGUGUGUGUUAGUGGAAGCGUCUGGAAAGGCGCGCGAUACAGGGUGACAGCCCCGUACACAAAAAUGCACAUACUGUGAGCUCGAUGAGUAGGGCGGGACACGUGGUAUCCUGUCUGAAUAUGGGGGGACCAUCCUCCAAGGCUAAAUACUCCUGACUGACCGAUAGUGAACCAGUACCGUGAGGGAAAGGCGAAAAGAACCCCGGCGAGGGGAGUGAAAAAGAACCUGAAACCGUGUACGUACAAGCAGUGGGAGCACGCUUCGGCGUGUGACUGCGUACCUUUUGUAUAAUGGGUCAGCGACUUAUAUUCUGUAGCAAGGUUAACCGAAUAGGGGAGCCGAAGGGAAACCGAGUCUUAACUGGGCGUUAAGUUGCAGGGUAUAGACCCGAAACCCGGUGAUCUAGCCAUGGGCAGGUUGAAGGUUGGGUAACACUAACUGGAGGACCGAACCGACUAAUGUUGAAAAAUUAGCGGAUGACUUGUGGCUGGGGGUGAAAGGCCAAUCAAACCGGGAGAUAGCUGGUUCUCCCCGAAAGCUAUUUAGGUAGCGCCUCGUGAAUUCAUCUCCGGGGGUAGAGCACUGUUUCGGCAAGGGGGUCAUCCCGACUUACCAACCCGAUGCAAACUGCGAAUACCGGAGAAUGUUAUCACGGGAGACACACGGCGGGUGCUAACGUCCGUCGUGAAGAGGGAAACAACCCAGACCGCCAGCUAAGGUCCCAAAGUCAUGGUUAAGUGGGAAACGAUGUGGGAAGGCCCAGACAGCCAGGAUGUUGGCUUAGAAGCAGCCAUCAUUUAAAGAAAGCGUAAUAGCUCACUGGUCGAGUCGGCCUGCGCGGAAGAUGUAACGGGGCUAAACCAUGCACCGAAGCUGCGGCAGCGACACUAUGUGUUGUUGGGUAGGGGAGCGUUCUGUAAGCCUGUGAAGGUGUGCUGUGAGGCAUGCUGGAGGUAUCAGAAGUGCGAAUGCUGACAUAAGUAACGAUAAAGCGGGUGAAAAGCCCGCUCGCCGGAAGACCAAGGGUUCCUGUCCAACGUUAAUCGGGGCAGGGUGAGUCGACCCCUAAGGCGAGGCCGAAAGGCGUAGUCGAUGGGAAACAGGUUAAUAUUCCUGUACUUGGUGUUACUGCGAAGGGGGGACGGAGAAGGCUAUGUUGGCCGGGCGACGGUUGUCCCGGUUUAAGCGUGUAGGCUGGUUUUCCAGGCAAAUCCGGAAAAUCAAGGCUGAGGCGUGAUGACGAGGCACUACGGUGCUGAAGCAACAAAUGCCCUGCUUCCAGGAAAAGCCUCUAAGCAUCAGGUAACAUUAAAUCGUACCCCAAACCGACACAGGUGGUCAGGUAGAGAAUACCAAGGCGCUUGAGAGAACUCGGGUGAAGGAACUAGGCAAAAUGGUGCCGUAACUUCGGGAGAAGGCACGCUGAUAUGUAGGUGAAGUCCCUCGCGGAUGGAGCUGAAAUCAGUCGAAGAUACCAGCUGGCUGCAACUGUUUAUUAAAAACACAGCACUGUGCAAACACGAAAGUGGACGUAUACGGUGUGACGCCUGCCCGGUGCCGGAAGGUUAAUUGAUGGGGUUAGCGGUAACGCGAAGCUCUUGAUCGAAGCCCCGGUAAACGGCGGCCGUAACUAUAACGGUCCUAAGGUAGCGAAAUUCCUUGUCGGGUAAGUUCCGACCUGCACGAAUGGCGUAAUGAUGGCCAGGCUGUCUCCACCCGAGACUCAGUGAAAUUGAACUCGCUGUGAAGAUGCAGUGUACCCGCGGCAAGACGGAAAGACCCCGUGAACCUUUACUAUAGCUUGACACUGAACAUUGAGCCUUGAUGUGUAGGAUAGGUGGGAGGCUUUGAAGUGUGGACGCCAGUCUGCAUGGAGCCGACCUUGAAAUACCACCCUUUAAUGUUUGAUGUUCUAACGUUGACCCGUGAUCCGGGUUGCGGACAGUGUCUGGUGGGUAGUUUGACUGGGGCGGUCUCCUCCUAAAGAGUAACGGAGGAGCACGAAGGUUGGCUAAUCCUGGUCGGACAUCAGGAGGUUAGUGCAAUGGCAUAAGCCAGCUUGACUGCGAGCGUGACGGCGCGAGCAGGUGCGAAAGCAGGUCAUAGUGAUCCGGUGGUUCUGAAUGGAAGGGCCAUCGCUCAACGGAUAAAAGGUACUCCGGGGAUAACAGGCUGAUACCGCCCAAGAGUUCAUAUCGACGGCGGUGUUUGGCACCUCGAUGUCGGCUCAUCACAUCCUGGGGCUGAAGUAGGUCCCAAGGGUAUGGCUGUUCGCCAUUUAAAGUGGUACGCGAGCUGGGUUUAGAACGUCGUGAGACAGUUCGGUCCCUAUCUGCCGUGGGCGCUGGAGAACUGAGGGGGGCUGCUCCUAGUACGAGAGGACCGGAGUGGACGCAUCACUGGUGUUCGGGUUGUCAUGCCAAUGGCACUGCCCGGUAGCUAAAUGCGGAAGAGAUAAGUGCUGAAAGCAUCUAAGCACGAAACUUGCCCCGAGAUGAGUUCUCCCUGACUCCUUGAGAGUCCUGAAGGAACGUUGAAGACGACGACGUUGAUAGGCCGGGUGUGUAAGCGCAGCGAUGCGUUGAGCUAACCGGUACUAAUGAACCGUGAGGCUUAACCUU